UAAUACAGGGGGUGCGAGCGUUAAUCGGAAUUACUGGGUGUAAAGGGCGCGUAGGCGGCAUUAUAAGUGCGAUGUGAAAGCCCCGGGCUUAACCUGGGAAGAGCAUUGCAUACUGUGAUGCUGGAGUACAUGAGAGGGUGGCGGAAUUUCCGGUGUAGCGGUGAAAUGCGUAGAGAUCGGAAGGAACGUCAAUGGCGAAGGCAGCCACCUGGCAUGAUACUGACGCUGAGGCGCGAAAGCGUGGGGAGCGAACAGGAUUAGAUACCCUGGUAGUCCACGCCGUAAACGAUGAGGACUGGAUGUUGCGGGGGGAACCCCGCAGUAUCGAAGCUAACGCGAUAAGUCUUCCACCUGGGAAGUACGGCCGCAAGGUUG
RNAcentral lists this ribosomal RNA (375 nucleotides) under uncultured bacterium. RNAcentral describes it as "bacterial SSU rRNA". It matches the Rfam family "Bacterial small subunit ribosomal RNA", at positions 521 to 896 of the family's 1533-position model. The record is from RNAcentral.